RNAcentral lists this ribosomal RNA (924 nucleotides) under Bacillus sp. C51. Its description in RNAcentral is "bacterial SSU rRNA". It matches the Rfam family "Bacterial small subunit ribosomal RNA", at positions 65 to 975 of the family's 1533-position model. Lineage: Bacteria; Bacillati; Bacillota; Bacilli; Caryophanales; Bacillaceae. The record is from RNAcentral.
AGCGGACAGAUGGGAGCUUGCUCCCUGAUGUUAGCGGCGGACGGGUGAGUAACACGUGGGUAACCUGCCUGUAAGACUGGGAUAACUCCGGGAAACCGGGGCUAAUACCGGAUGCUUGUUUGAACCGCAUGGUUCAAACAUAAAAGGUGGCUUCGGCUACCACUUACAGAUGGACCCGCGGCGCAUUAGCUAGUUGGUGAGGUAAUGGCUCACCAAGGCAACGAUGCGUAGCCGACCUGAGAGGGUGAUCGGCCACACUGGGACUGAGACACGGCCCAGACUCCUACGGGAGGCAGCAGUAGGGAAUCUUCCGCAAUGGACGAAAGUCUGACGGAGCAACGCCGCGUGAGUGAUGAAGGUUUUCGGAUCGUAAAGCUCUGUUGUUAGGGAAGAACAAGUGCCGUUCAAAUAGGGCGGCACCUUGACGGUACCUAACCAGAAAGCCACGGCUAACUACGUGCCAGCAGCCGCGGUAAUACGUAGGUGGCAAGCGUUGUCCGGAAUUAUUGGGCGUAAAGGGCUCGCAGGCGGUUUCUUAAGUCUGAUGUGAAAGCCCCCGGCUCAACCGGGGAGGGUCAUUGGAAACUGGGGAACUUGAGUGCAGAAGAGGAGAGUGGAAUUCCACGUGUAGCGGUGAAAUGCGUAGAGAUGUGGAGGAACACCAGUGGCGAAGGCGACUCUCUGGUCUGUAACUGACGCUGAGGAGCGAAAGCGUGGGGAGCGAACAGGAUUAGAUACCCUGGUAGUCCACGCCGUAACGAUGAGUGCUAAGUGUUAGGGGGUUUCCGCCCCUUAGUGCUGCAGCUAACGCAUUAAGCACUCCGCCUGGGGAGUACGGUCGCAAGACUGAAACUCAAGAAUUGACGGGGGCCCGCACAAGCGUGGAGCAUGUGUUUAUUCGAAGCAACCGCGAAGAACCUUACC